RNAcentral lists this ribosomal RNA (464 nucleotides) under uncultured bacterium. Its description in RNAcentral is "partial 16S ribosomal RNA". It matches the Rfam family "Bacterial small subunit ribosomal RNA", at positions 339 to 795 of the family's 1533-position model. The record is from RNAcentral.
CUACGGGGUGCUGCAGUGGGGAAUAUUGCACAAUGGGCGCAAGCCUGAUGCAGCCAUGCCGCGUGUAUGAAGAAGGCCUUCGGGUUGUAAAGUACUUUCAGCGGGGAGGAAGGGAGUAAAGUUAAUACCUUUGCUCAUUGACGUUACCCGCAGAAGAAGCACCGGCUAACUCCGUGCCAGCAGCCGCGGUAAUACGGAGGGUGCAAGCGUUAAUCGAAAUUACUGGGCGUAAAGCGCACGCAGGCGGUUUGUUAAGUCAGACGUGAAAUCCCCGGGCUCAACCUGGGAACUGCAUCUGAUACUGGCAAGCUUGAGUCUCGUAGAGGGGGGUAGAAUUCCAGGUGUAGCGGUGAAAUGCGUAGAGAUCUGGAGGAAUACCGGUGGCGAAGGCGGCCCCCUGGACGAAGACUGACGCUCAGGUGCGAAAGCGUGGGGAGCAAACAGGAUUAGAUACCCUCGUAGUC